UGCUUUAUUUGGUGACAAAUCUCACUUAUGGGGGCAAAUUAGGUCCAAAGUAACCAUUUGUCAGACAAUUAGAUGGUAUUAGUUACAUAAUUGGUACCUUUUGUGCCAUUCAUUGGCUGUCUCCAUUAUUUUAUAUUAUUCAACCCAUAAACCGGUUGCAUAUGGACGAGAAAAAGUAGAAAAGUUUCCUCUGCAAAACAGCAAUAGCAGUCAUGGUCUUCCCAAUGAAUACACUGUUUGCAGGUAUCAUUCUUUCUUUCCUUCUCUUUCUUUCUCGUCCUUUCCUUCACUUUCUCUCUUCUUCCUCCUUCUCCCUCUUCUUCUUCCUUCUUCCUACAGAUGCAAUUUGUAUUCUUUCCUGACACGGUUUGUUCUGUUGAGUGCUGAGGACGAUGAUGAACACGAUGAUGGUGAUGUUGAUGUUGUUGGGUUCGUGAUGAACGAUGUUGAACGAUUUUAGAUGAAUGAGUUGAGUUGGUUGAAGAUCUAUGAAGAUGAUGACGAAAGCUACGAAUCUGAAUCUCGGAUCCGACCCUUCCACGGGAUUAGGGUUUCAGGAGAUCUCGGUCGCAAGUUCUUUUCCAAUAUGAUUGGUUAGCAGAAUUUUGUGGGAAGUGGCGGUUUGAGUCGGUGAUGCAGCCUGUUUCUUCGGGAACCAGUUUGUUAUUCGUUUCGGUUGAGCUUUAUGCAGGGCUGCAGUUCUCAUAAGACCAUUACUUGAACAU
Long non-coding RNA from Vicia villosa (hairy vetch), 725 nucleotides. RefSeq lists it as uncharacterized. The transcript is spliced from 3 exons. The record is from RefSeq and is a predicted model, not a curated record. Lineage: Eukaryota; Viridiplantae; Streptophyta; Magnoliopsida; Fabales; Fabaceae.